This 253-nucleotide ribosomal RNA is filed under the name uncultured bacterium. Its description in RNAcentral is "partial 16S ribosomal RNA". It matches the Rfam family "Bacterial small subunit ribosomal RNA", at positions 524 to 776 of the family's 1533-position model. The record is from RNAcentral.
UACGUAGGGGGCUAGCGUUGUCCGGAUUUAUUGGGCGUAAAGAGUGCGUAGGCGGUUUUCUAAGUUUGGUGUGAAAUCUCCCGGCUCAACUGGGAGGGUGCGCCGAAGACUGGAAGACUAGAGUGUGGGAGAGGUAAGCGGAAUUCCUGGUGUAGCGGUGAAAUGCGUAGAUAUCAGGAGGAACACCUGCGGUGUAGACGGCUUACUGGACCACCACUGACGCUGAGGCACGAAAGCGUGGGUAGCAAACGGG